UUGAGGAGGAAAAGAUUAGGUGCCCCGGGAUAAGACCGGGGGUAACAGGGAAUCGGGUGCAACUCCCGAGCGGUCCCGCCACUGUAUUCGGGGAGUCCCGCCCACCCAUGUCACUUGAUGACGCAAGACAUCAGGGAAGACGGGCGAAGAUGAUGAGCCGAGAGCCAGGAGACCUACCUAAUCCGAGCACCCAGA
This 195-nucleotide non-coding RNA is filed under the name Paenibacillus mucilaginosus. Lineage: Bacteria; Bacillati; Bacillota; Bacilli; Caryophanales; Paenibacillaceae. The record is from RNAcentral. RNAcentral also lists the same sequence under 1 other name.